Mugil cephalus (flathead mullet) is the source of this 1613-nucleotide long non-coding RNA. RefSeq lists it as uncharacterized. NCBI's taxonomy places the organism in Eukaryota, Metazoa, Chordata, Actinopteri, Mugiliformes, Mugilidae. The transcript is spliced from 3 exons. The record is from RefSeq and is a predicted model, not a curated record.
UUGUUUUUUUCUUCCACUUUUUAGCCCAAGUUUCCUUAGGUUCGUUCUUGAUUGAUUAUUGUAAAAAAAAAAAAAAAAAAAAAAAAAAAAAAAAUAUUUACUUUGCGUACUGUCUCUGCUUCCUCAGUCUCUCGAACCUGUAUCCUUACCUUUUUGUCUUACAUCAGUUUAGUUUCCUGCUCUUUAUAUCCUGGGAUGCAAGUCCCCAGGUGGAAUUGUAGGUCCCUCCUUGGUUAUCUUUAAGUUUCCCCCUUCCCCUUUAAUUAUAAACCCACCACUACUUGCCACACUUGGUGUUGUUGGCAGGAUGACUGAAGGCAGAGACUUGUAGUUUUCUUUUCUUGUAACCCAAUUGAUUUUUGCUGCACAGAUUGGUUUAUUUGUUUUGUAGAACAGCAGCAGGGCUGGGCGGCUCUUGUCACAACCAUUAUCUCUUACCUCUCCUGAUUUGUAUCCUCAUGGAGGAGAUUGCCCAGCUAAGAGACUUGAUCACUCAGCUGCAAGCUGAGAACCAACAGAUGCGUCGGGAAUGGGAGGUUAACCAGCUUGGGCUGAGCACAUCAUCUGGCAGUUCAUCAGCCUGUGGGCCCUCCUUGGCUUCAGCCUCAGUAACUGAAAGACUGAUCUAUCUCCACAGGGGCAGAAAAUGCCCAUUGUUUAGGGGGAGGACCAGACUAAACAUUGGGAGUGGACUGAAGGGAUCCAUGCCUGCAUACGGGCCUGUCUCCAGCAGACCAAUCGCUUUUCAUCUACGACCACCUGGAAGGAGAAGCAUGGGAGGAAAUCAAAUAUCGGCCUCCAGAGGAAAGGGGAGAUCCAGACAAGGAACCAUCAGGAGCCAGCCUGUCUGCUGCUUGGACGGAGGAGUGUGAGCAGGGAUUCGAGGGCCUGAAAAGCAGGUUGGUGUCUGCUCCAGUCCUGGCCUAUGCCAACUACUCAUUACCCUUCAUCUUGGAGGUUGACGCCAGCUACAGUGGACUGGGUGCCGUACUCUCCCAAGAACAAGAGGGAAGCUGAUCUCAUAAUCAAAGACUUCUGGAGGUUUUGGACUAGAAAGAGGGCCCCUGAUGCAGCAGAAUGACGCCAGGCUUCCAAGGAGGUUCUUGUGCUGGCCAGACAGUGGGACAAGGUGGUGAUGAGACGAGGGGUGAUCUAGCGCUGUGUCGCCCUCCCUAGAGGAGACGAAGUGCUCCACUUGGUACUCCCUGCAUCUCAGACAAGUUCAAGAUUCAAGACACAAGUACUUCAGCAAUUGCAUGAUGACCAUGGACACCAGGGUGCUGAGCGAACAACAAAGCUGGUUAGCCAGUGGUGCUAUUGGCCUGGAUGCACCAAGACAUUAAAGAGUGGUGUCAGAAAUGCGAGCACUGCCAGGUAGCGAAAGACAUGGAGCUUACUGCCUGUGCGUAUAUGGGUCACUUGCUUCUCGUCCAAAACAGGUCCUGGCUAUUGAUUUCACUAUUCUGGAGCCCUUGAGGAAUGGGGUGGAGAACAUCCUGGUCAUAACCGAUGUUUUUUCAAUAUAUCCCCCAGCUAUCCCAACCCACGAUCAGUGGCCAUCGACUCGAUGGCCACUGUAGAGUGCUGGUUAAUGAGUGGUUCUACAAGUUUGA